GCUGGCGGCAUGCCUAACACAUGCAAGUCGAACGGAAACGACAGGAGCUUGCUCCUGGGCGUCGAGUGGCGGACGGGUGAGUAAUGCAUAGGAAUCUGCCCAUGUAGUGGGGGACAACCUGGGGAAACUCAGGCUAAUACCGCAUGAGCCCUUCGGGGGAAAGCAGGGGAUCUUCGGACCUUGCGCUAUUGGAUGAGCCUAUGCCUGAUUAGCUUGCUGGUGGGGUAACGGCCUACCAAGGCGACGAUCAGUAGCUGGUCUGAGAGGACGAUCAGCCACACUGGGACUGAGACACGGCCCAGACUCCUACGGGAGGCAGCAGUGGGGAAUAUUGGACAAUGGGCGCAAGCCUGAUCCAGCAAUGCCGCGUGUGUGAAGAAGGCCUGCGGGUUGUAAAGCACUUUCAGUGGGGAGGAAAAGCUCAAGGUUAAUACCCUUGGGUCUUGACGUUAUCCACAGAAGAAGCACCGGCUAACUCUGUGCCAGCAGCCGCGGUAAUACAGAGGGUGCAAGCGUUAAUCGGAAUUACUGGGCGUAAAGCGCGCGUAGGCGGUUUGUUAAGUCGGAUGUGAAAGCCCC
Molecule: ribosomal RNA, 579 nt
Filed under: uncultured Gammaproteobacteria bacterium
Lineage: Bacteria; Pseudomonadati; Pseudomonadota; Gammaproteobacteria
Description: bacterial SSU rRNA
Rfam family: Bacterial small subunit ribosomal RNA
Source: RNAcentral